GUGUUGUAUGAAAGAAGAGGAUGCAAUCCCCUUGUGAAGGAUAGAAGAGGUCCUAGUAGCCUUUACAACACAUACAGGGUUCAUACAGUUAAGGCAUAGCUCCCUACUCUGUGGUAUCUUUUUUU
Small nuclear RNA from Phascolarctos cinereus (koala), 125 nucleotides. NCBI's taxonomy places the organism in Eukaryota, Metazoa, Chordata, Mammalia, Diprotodontia, Phascolarctidae. The record is from Ensembl.